RNAcentral lists this ribosomal RNA (214 nucleotides) under Clostridium botulinum. RNAcentral's name for it is "partial 23S ribosomal RNA". It matches the Rfam family "Bacterial large subunit ribosomal RNA", at positions 1375 to 1590 of the family's 2925-position model. The record is from RNAcentral. Lineage: Bacteria; Bacillati; Bacillota; Clostridia; Eubacteriales; Clostridiaceae.
CAGGGUUAGUCGGGACCUAAGCCGAGGCCGAAAGGCGUAGGUGAUGGACAAUCGGUUGAUAUUCCGAUACCACCUAUUUACGUUUGAGAAAUGGGGUGACGCAGUAGGUUAAGAUGUGCGCACUAUUGGAUGUGCGUCUAAGCACUUAGGCAUGCUUGAUAGGCAAAUCCGUCGAGCUAAGCUGAGGUGUGAUGGGGAGCCAUUUAUGGCGAAG